This 253-nucleotide ribosomal RNA is filed under the name uncultured bacterium. RNAcentral's name for it is "partial 16S ribosomal RNA". It matches the Rfam family "Bacterial small subunit ribosomal RNA", at positions 524 to 776 of the family's 1533-position model. The record is from RNAcentral.
UACGAAGGGAGCUAGCGUUGUUCGGAAUCACUGGGCGUAAAGCGCACGUAGGCGGCUGUGUCAGUCAGGGGUGAAAUCCCGGAGCUCAACUUCGGAACUGCCUUUGAUACAGCACGUCUUGAGUCCGGAAGAGGUGGGUGGAAUUCCUAGUGUAGAGGUGAAAUUCGUAGAUAUUAGGAAGAACACCGGUGGCGAAGGCGGCCCACUGGUCCGGUACUGACGCUGAGGUGCGAAAGCGUGGGGAGCAAACAGG